GAAAUGCGAUAAGUAAUGUGAAUUGCAGAAUUCCGUGAAUCAUCGAAUCUUUGAACGCACAUUGCGCCCUCUGGUAUUCCGGGGGGCAUGCCUGUCCGAGCGUCAUUGCGAACCCCUCAAGCACGGCUUGUGUGAUGGGCCCUCCCGCGUCUUGGUCGUCAAGACGGGCCCGAAAAGCAGUGGCGGCUUCGCGGUUAUCCGAUCAGCCAGAGCGUAUGGGGACUUUCUCUCUGUCACACGCCCGCGGCGCGGACCGACGCCUGUCGACCUUUAUUCAUCUUUUUCUCGGUUGACCUCGGAUCAGGUAGAGAUACCCGCUGAACUUAGGC
RNAcentral lists this unclassified non-coding RNA (329 nucleotides) under plant metagenome. RNAcentral describes it as "partial contains 5.8S ribosomal RNA, internal transcribed spacer 2, and large subunit ribosomal RNA". The stretch from base 1 to 105 matches the Rfam family "5.8S ribosomal RNA", at positions 50 to 154 of the family's 154-position model. The record is from RNAcentral.